UCGUACGAGAGUCUUUGACUCAAGUGGCGGACGGGUGAGUAACACGUAAGAAUUUGCCUUUAGGAGGGGGACAACAACUGGAAACGGUUGCUAAUACCCCAUAUGCUUUCGAGUGAAAUGGAUUUUUCCGCCUAGAGAGAAGCUUGCGGCUGAUUAGCUUGUUGGUGAGGUAAUGGCUCACCAAGGCGACGAUCAGUAUCUGGUUUGAGAGGACGAUCAGACACACUGGAACUGAGACACGGUCCAGACUCCUACGGGAGGCAGCAGUGGGGAAUUUUCCGCAAUGGGCGAAAGCCUGACGGAGCAAUCUCGCGUGAGGGAUGACUGCCCAUGGGUUGUAAACCUCUUUUUUCAGGGAGGAAUAAAUGACGUGUACCUGAAGAAUAAGCAUCGGCUAACUCCGUGCCAGCAGCCGCGGUAAUACGGAGGAUGCAAGUGUUAUCCGGAAUCACUGGGCGUAAAGCGUCUGUAGGUGGUUUAAUAAGUCAACUGUUAAAUCUUGAGGCUCAACUUCAAAAUCGCAGUCGAAACUAU
RNAcentral lists this ribosomal RNA (534 nucleotides) under uncultured bacterium. RNAcentral's name for it is "bacterial SSU rRNA". It matches the Rfam family "Bacterial small subunit ribosomal RNA", at positions 62 to 636 of the family's 1533-position model. The record is from RNAcentral.